AACGAACGCUGGCGGCAUGCCUAACACAUGCAAGUCGAACGAGACCUUCGGGUCUAGUGGCGCACGGGUGCGUAACGCGUGGGAACCUGCCCUUAGGUUCGGAAUAACUCCCCGAAAGGGGUGCUAAUACCGGAUAAUGUCUUCGGACCAAAGAUUUAUCGCCUUUGGAUGGGCCCGCGUUGGAUUAGCUGGUUGGUAGGGUAAAAGCCUACCAAGGCGACGAUCCAUAGCUGGUCUGAGAGGCUGAUCAGCCACACUGGGACUGAGACACGGCCCAGACUCCUACGGGAGGCAGCAGUGGGGAAUAUUGGAAAAUGGGCGAAAGCCUGAUCCAGCAAUGCCGCGUGAGUGAUGAAGGCCUUAGGGUUGUAAAGCUCUUUUACCCGGGAUGAUAAUGACAGUACCGGGAGAAUAAGCUCCGGCUAACUCCGUG
This 433-nucleotide ribosomal RNA is filed under the name uncultured bacterium. RNAcentral describes it as "partial 16S ribosomal RNA". It matches the Rfam family "Bacterial small subunit ribosomal RNA", at positions 29 to 507 of the family's 1533-position model. The record is from RNAcentral.